This 255-nucleotide ribosomal RNA is filed under the name uncultured bacterium. RNAcentral's name for it is "partial 16S ribosomal RNA". It matches the Rfam family "Bacterial small subunit ribosomal RNA", at positions 524 to 776 of the family's 1533-position model. The record is from RNAcentral.
CACGUAGGGUGCGAGCGUUGUCCGGAAUUAUUGGGCGUAAAGAGCUCGUAGGCGGUGUGUCGCGUCGGCCGUGAAAACCUGCAGCUUAACUGUGGGCUUGCGGUCGAUACGGGCAUCACUGGAGUUCGGCAGGGGGAGACUGGAAUUCCUGGUGUAGCGGUGAAAUGCGCAGAUAUCAGGAGGAACACCGGUGGCGAAGGCGGGUCUCUGGGCAGUAACUGACGCUGAGGAGCGAAAGCGUGGGGAGCGAACAGG